Molecule: RNA transcript, 7942 nt
Organism: Hipposideros armiger (great roundleaf bat)
Lineage: Eukaryota; Metazoa; Chordata; Mammalia; Chiroptera; Hipposideridae
Gene: HNRNPD
Gene name: heterogeneous nuclear ribonucleoprotein D
Exons: 10
Source: RefSeq, a predicted model, not a curated record
UUAGGUGGUCCGCGGCGGCGCCAUUAAAGCGAGGAGGAGGCAAGAGCGGCCGCCGCUGCUUCUUAUUCUUUUUUAGUGCAGCCGAAGAGAGCGGGAGUGCGCGCUGCGCGAGAGUGGGAGGUGAGGGGGGCAGGCCAGGGAGAGGCGCAGGAGCCUUUGCAACCACGCGCGCCUUCUCUGUCUUGUGUGCUUCGCGCGGUACAGCGAGCGCGCGGCAGCGGCGGGGAUUACUUUGCUGCUAGUUUCGGUUCGCGGCAGCGGCGGGUGUAGUCUCUUCGGCAGCGGAGGCAGUAGCGCUAUGUCGGAGGAGCAGUUCGGCGGGGACGGGGCGGCGGCGGCGGCAACGGCAGCGGUAGGCGGCUCGGCGGGCGAGCAGGAGGGAGCCAUGGUGGCAGCAGCGCAGGGGGCAGCGGCGGCGGCGGGAAGCGGAGCCGGGACUGGGGGCGGAACCGCGACCGGCGGCACCGAAGGGGGCAGCGCCGAGUCGGAGGGGGCGAAGAUCGAUGCCAGUAAGAACGAGGAGGAUGAAGGCCAUUCAAACUCCUCCCCACGACACACUGAAGCAGCGACGGCACAGCGGGAAGAAUGGAAAAUGUUUAUAGGCGGCCUUAGCUGGGACACUACAAAGAAAGAUCUGAAGGACUACUUCUCCAAAUUUGGUGAAGUUGUAGACUGCACUCUGAAGUUAGAUCCUAUCACGGGGCGAUCAAGGGGUUUUGGCUUUGUGCUAUUUAAAGAGUCGGAGAGUGUAGAUAAGGUCAUGGAUCAGAAAGAACAUAAAUUGAAUGGGAAGGUGAUUGAUCCUAAAAGGGCCAAAGCCAUGAAAACAAAAGAACCUGUUAAAAAAAUUUUUGUUGGUGGCCUUUCUCCAGAUACACCUGAAGAGAAAAUAAGAGAGUACUUUGGUGGUUUUGGUGAGGUGGAAUCCAUAGAGCUCCCCAUGGACAACAAGACCAAUAAGAGGCGUGGAUUCUGCUUUAUUACCUUUAAGGAAGAGGAACCAGUGAAGAAGAUAAUGGAAAAGAAAUACCACAAUGUUGGUCUUAGUAAAUGUGAAAUCAAAGUAGCCAUGUCGAAGGAACAGUAUCAGCAACAGCAGCAGUGGGGGUCCAGAGGAGGAUUUGCAGGCCGAGCUCGUGGAAGAGGUGGUGGCCCCAGUCAAAACUGGAACCAGGGAUAUAGUAACUAUUGGAAUCAAGGCUAUGGCAACUAUGGAUAUAACAGCCAAGGUUACGGUGGUUAUGGAGGAUAUGACUACACUGGUUACAACAACUACUAUGGAUAUGGUGAUUAUAGCAACCAGCAGAGUGGUUAUGGGAAAGUAUCCAGGCGAGGUGGUCAUCAAAAUAGCUACAAACCAUACUAAAUUAUUCCAUUUGCAACUUAUCCCCAACAGCGGGAACUUCAUUGCAGGCCCUGUGUCGCGCUGACUUCACGAUUCUCACAGGCCCGCUCAAUGCGGACAGGGUACGAGAUGCUCACGCUCUCGAAUGCUGCCGUUUGGUGGUGAAGCAGUAUUUUCCAAUUUGAAGAUUCAUUUGAAGGUGGCUCCUGCCACCUGCUAAUAGCAGUUCAAACUAAAUUUUUUGUAUCAAGUCCCUGAAUGGAAGUAUGACGUUGGGUCCCUCUGAAGUUUAAUUCUGAGUUCUCAUUAAAAGAAAUUUGCUUUCAUUGUUUUAUUUCUUAAUUGCUAUGCUUCAGAAUCAAUUUGUGUUUCAUGCCCCUCCUCCCCAGUAUUGUAGAGCAAGUCUUGUGUUAAAAGCCCAGUGUGACAGUGUCAUGAUGUAGUAGUGUCUUACUGGUUUUUUAAUAAAUCCUUUUGUAUAAAAAUGUAUUGGCUCUUUUAUCAUCAGAAUAGGAAAAUUUGAGGAAUAUAAAAAAAGUUUUUGUCAUGGAUUCAAGUUAGUAGAAGCAUAAAUUUGGAAAAUAGUAAUCCUUGUCUAAAUUGAGGACAUGGUUAAGAUUGCAGUGGAAUUUUAAAUGUUUUUAGUAAACUAAUUUUUGCCACAAUGUGACCUCCCUAUCCAAAUUGGAAAUGACUUAAUGUAGUUAAUUUGUUUGUUGGAUGUUUUAAUACUAAUGUAGCCAUUAAGAUUUAUAUGAAUACUUUCCCAAUGCCCAAUUUCUGCUUAAUAUGUAUUGUGCUUUUUAGAACAAAUUUGGAUAAAUGUGCAAGAAACCCUUUUGCACAGAUACUUAAUGUUUUGUGCUUCCAUUAAGUAAAAAUAAGAGCAAUGAAAAUAAUGUGAAUCGUAAUAAAAAUGCAGCUAGUUAAGAGAUUUUUAGGGCUGUGGUGGACUUACCCUCCAUAGAUAUUCAAGCGUUGAGGGAGGAUUAAAGAAAUGUAUACUGUGUUUGUGUGUGCUCAUUUGUUUGAAUGAUUUUAUUUUCCUUAAAGUCAGUUUUCUGGAUUAGGGCCCUAAAAUAUCCCAGACUGGGAUUUGAAGACAUACCUAGGAGUUCAGAGUCAUUCUAAGAAAGUGUAGCUAGGAGUUUAGUUGAUGGCUUAGGAGUAAGUAAGAAGAGUUCCUUUUUGCGAUUACUUGUUUUAUUUGUAAAGUAUAGAAAUUGACAAAACUUCAUUUGGAAGGGUUUUUGGUAUUUGUUAAUAGUAUUUAGGGAAUUGAUACCCAUCAAUUUGGAAAAUCCUUUGUAGCUAUUAAGUGAAUGUUAAUAAGUGUUCUACCCUGAGUGGUAAUUUGAGAUCCUAUCUAUUCAUAAGUCAAGCUUGGAGGCUGAGAAUAGCUAGAAAAAAAGUAACAUCAUAAAUGAGAAAUAGUCUUAAUUCUGUAGUAGAGUGAAGUGAUCUUUACAAUUUUUUUUCUUUUAUGGAGUUGAGUCAUUUCUGAUGGUAAGAAUUGACCUUCAACUGGCAGGCAUUUUAGUGAGCAAAAAUUAGUGUUACUGAAAAAAAGUAAGUCAAACUUUUAUGAUAGAUGUCUGGAUUGGGGGCCUGCAGCCUGUUUUUGUAACUAUACUGCGACCCAGCUAUGCUUAUGUGUUUGCAUAUAUUGUAUGGCUGUUUUUGCACCAUGACAAAGUAGUUAAGAAGAACUAUAAAGCCUAAAAUACUUGCUAUCCGAACUUUUACAGAAAAAGUUUGCUGACCUCUGAUCUAAAUUAGUGAGUUUGUGUUGGGGUUAUUUUAUGUAACUAUUGCACAUCAAAACUUUAAAAAGGAGUUAGUACUGAUUGGAUUAAAAACCUACACUUUAAGGUUUGUUUGCAUUGGCUAAUGUAAAGCUAUCAUUUUUAUUCUUUAUAAUGUUAGUGUUAACCCUGCUCCAUGACUUGAUAGAUUUAAUUAGUAGAAAACAAGGAGAGACUAAAGCUGUAUUCGGGUUUAAUUCUUUGCCUUCAGUAAUGUUUUAAAUUUGGGGGUUGAUUUAUUCCCACUUGACUUUUUAUGAAAGUUAUACUUGCACAGUUAAGGAAAUACAACACUUAGAACUUGAUUUUUAUACUAUGUUUCCAUAUAUUCUAAGUCACAUUUGAAAUGGCUAUAAUGAGAUCCAUUUCAGGCAUUUCUUGACCUAGAUGAAUAUUUUUGUGUAUACCAGGCUCUAAUUCAUUUUCAAACUUGCACAGAAUUGGAAAAUUCUCCCUUUAUACAAAUCCAUUUAUCAGCUUCAUGUUUUUCUUGGGUCUUCUAUAUUCCAAUCUGAACUCAUUGCCCUUUAGAAUUGAAUACCUUGAGUUGGGGCUUUGUUAUUGUGAGGGGUCCCUUUGCCUGUCGAUUUAGACCCUUCAUUUCCUGAAUCCCAGAGUUUUCAUUUUGUGCAGCUCAUCUUUUGAGACCAUGUCUAAAAGGGUCUGUUUCACUCUGGAUUAGUAGUUUGGCUAGGUAGAGAAUUCUAGAUUUAGUGAAGAAAUUUGAUGCUAUCUUGAUUCUUGAUCAUUCACAUGAAAUAUUUUUACUCUGAAAUAGCUUAGGGUUUUCUAUCUGUCACCAGUGUUCUCAAGUAUGACUGCUGGAUACCCAGUGGGUUCUGUUACUGUGUAAACUUGCUCUUUAAUUUCUGGGAAAUAUUAUGGACUGAUUAUUUUCCUUAUCCCCUUCACCACCACAAUCUGUUCUCUGCUAUUGUUAUUGGUGUGAGCCCUGGACAUCUAUUUUCCUAUUUUCCAUUGCAGUCUGUUCACACUUUGUAAUUUUCACAACUUAAUCUUUCAGCUUUUUAAAGUUUUAAAUCUCAUCUCUAAUUUCUAAGACCUUCGUCUGCCAAUCUGUUAUAAACAGCAACCUGUUCCUACAUGGAUACAUUCAUUAUCUGUACAAGGUUAACCUCGUCUGUAAGAUUUCCUCCAAGAUGCUUUACUUGGCGUGUUGCUUUGGCGCCUUCUUUUCAUGGUAGAGAUUUUCCUCAAAUGUUGGGUGGCUCUUGGCUCACAUUUAGGAGUGGAGUAUUUUAAAAGCUAAUUGGAUGUGAAUUAGGCUGGGAGGUGGGAACUUGUCAACCAUGGGGUUCACUAUUGGGUGAUCUGGCUGUGUCAUUUUGAGGAACCCCUUGAUACUUUUUUUUUUCUUUUCUUUAAACCCCUGAACUGGUCAUGUUCACCAGAGAAGUCUUUCUGUUCUGCUACCUUGAAGGGUAAAAACUGGCUGCCAGUAUUCUGGUAUCCCAGUGGGGGGAAAUCUCAGGAAUCAGAACAAGUAAACUGCUUUUAGUUGUUUUUUGUUUUUUCAUCACUAUGCCUGAGUCCAAAGAUCACCCUCUCGAGAUGAUCUCGUUUUUUGCCAGGAUGGAGUUCAAUUGUCCAACAGUAUAGAGGAUCUGGGGGUUUAACUGCCUGUGAGACAGACCAACCAAUCCUGUUUUAGUCGCUUCCAUUUCUGAAGAUGCCUGGGCUGCCAAUUGCUAACAAGCCUUUGGGGGGCAAGGAGUGUUCUGUGGUAUAAGCUCAGAUAUCUAUGCUACAGACAAUACUCAGUUUUGUCUGCCUACUCAAUCCCCAUUUGUUCAUUAGCUUUGCAGCUUUCAAAGUUUGCUGUUGUCUCCUCUUCCAUUCUUUGUCUUGAUGGUUUCUUAUGUUGUGCCCCCUCCUUAAGUACUGAGCUUUAGUAGGAUUUCCAAAGGGACUAGAAGUGAUAUAUGGUCUAUUUUUAGCAGCCUUUAUUGUGUGCGGUUGGUGAUGGAAGAUUUAGAGAACAAAGAAGGACAUGUAAAUUAAAAUACAGGUAGCUCAGUACUCUUAAGAUUUUGGCCAAUAAAGUUCAUAAGUAGUUUGCUCGUUUAUUAUAGAAUUGAUCCCUGUUUAUUAAGGGGCAGUGUUAGGUAACUGAUUUCAAUUCUCCCAUCAAUUUUGUACCCUUGUUAGAGCUACCAGUCCCAUUUCAUUUCAAGUAGCGUGUGAAUUUUCUAGGUCUGCUGUCCUAAUUCAAAUUUUGAUACCUUUUGGUUUACUAGAUGCCUGCUGAGAGGUGAGUUAAUCUCUUCCCGGGGUUCUGGGUUUCCUCUUAUUCCUUUCUUAACGUUUGUAUUGUAAGAUUCCAAAUCUUGUUACCAUGUUAACUUCUCAUGGGAAUGGUAAUUGCUUCAUUGUUCUUUGUUGGUCACAAGUAUUAGAAUACAGUGUAUGGAACACCUGUCCAGGUGUCAUUCAUGCUGAGAUAAGUUUGAAAGAUAGUUUCACUAAUAACAUGAGGACAUAACUAGGCCUUUGCGUUCUGUACUUUAGUCUGCUUUUAUUGUUUUACUGCUUGGAAAAGUUUUUUGACGGUAUCUUGUACUUUAAAAAAAGGUACUAUAGGCUUACUUAGAGCCUUGAGCUAUUGGGAAUUUAGAAAACCAGGGCUGAACCCACUAUCCACCACAAUGUUUGUGUUGGUCCUGAAAUGUAUGAGUUUAUUUGGUUUGAGGUCAUCUUAACCUCAAAUGUCAAAAUCUAGAUCCAUGCAUAAUAAAUACACUGACACGUCUCAGUAAAUUUCUUUGGGAGGACUAAUAGAGUUUAUCAGUGUGCUAACAUUUAAGGAUGAUCCCAAGCUAUUAUGUGAAUUUUUUAUUUUUUUUUAGUCUUCACUACUGGCCAUAUUUAUUUAGUUUAGGGAGACUAGCCUGAAAAUUCUAUGGGUAAAAAUGAUUCUAGCAAGAUGAAUAUUGAGUUGUGCAAAUUGAGUCAGCCUGGCCUGUUUAAUUGCUGUCAGUUGCUUAUCUGGAAAAUUGGGGAAGUGAUGAUAAUCUGGUUUGCAUUUCAAAGAGGACUGUAGACCAUUUACAUCAGAAUCAUUUAAUCAGAAUUGUUUGGGGGUGUUUCCUGGGUUUCUCUGUUUGACACACCCCCAAGUGAUCUUAGCUACACUAAAGUUUUAAGGUCUGUGGCUUUAAGAUAGUUACAGUUAAACAUAUUGUUUCAGUAAGGAUUGUUUUUAUUGUAAAGACAACGUGUUUCAUAAAACUUUGACCUCAAGCAUUUUAAUCAUGGACUCAUGUCUAGCUUGAAAGGAAAAAUCAUAAAAGACAGCAUUGUAAUGAGUGUACAAGAUGACUGAGCAAAUGUACCAAGUGGGGAAAGGGAUGUGGUGGGGGUGGCUUAUAGGCUGGAAACAUGAUGAGUUGGUUUUAUAAUGUUUUAAUUCUCUACAGGCAAUACACUCCCCUUAUUGCCUGCAUAUUGCUCCCUUUGUCACUGAUCUCACUCAUCCAUUAUGGGUUGGUAAUCAGCAACUGAUCAAAAUUGACUUUUGCAGUUGUCUUGAGUUGGGCUAGUUAAAAUAUUGCCCUGUUGUCCCUACUACCUUUUAGAUUCUCAAGUAGGAUGUGUAAUUCCCGCAGCCUCAGGUACUGGGAUCCAAGGGACUAUAGUUUAGGAAUACAGCAGUGGGGUAACUAUUACUUCUUAAUUUUCUGCAGUAAGCCCUGUAAAAGAUAACUUUGGGGGACAGAAGGGUGCUCUAAGGGCGUAAAAAAAGAACCUUACAAAAUGACUAUAACUUAAAAACGGUGAAAUGCUUUAUAGGAAUUAGAUCCUAAGUAAGAGCAAGGUGUUCCUUGGUAUAGCAGCCCAAGUCGGUUAUUUUAGUUGUCAUAGGAGGAAUUGUUUAAAGUCCUUAAAGAAAGUACAGAUAAGCAUUAGUAGAGGUGCUAAUUCAUUAAACAGUGAUAACAGGUUAUUGGAUUCUAUUUUGAGAAACAUCUAAGCCACUUGGUGUUGGGAAGAUAGUUUACUUCAAGGGUAGUUGGUAUACACUUUUAUUUUGUAAUUGGACAGGCUAUAUUCUGUUCAUACUUUAGAAUUGAAAGCAAGGUUACUUUCCUGGCUUUUCUCUUAAAAGUAAAAUACUGGGAGAAACUUAAGAGGUCUGUUAAUGCCAGUACAUGUGACAUUUAACAUGUCAUGGAAGCUAUGCUUUGAAGAAAUACUUGAGAAGGAAUAUAUAAUUGCCCCCUCCCCCUUUUUUUGUAUGGAUGGCCUUGGAUUACACAGGGCUUAAUUACAUUUUUAGAAAAUAACUUGCCAAUCUCAGACUGAUAAAGUGGAACCCUUUUAAAAAUAAAAAUUGAAAGAUGGCUCUUUGAUUAUUAAUCACAGUGUAGUUAAGAGAUUGGUUAAGGCAAUAAAAACUUCGAAAUGCUCAGAAAUUUGUUGUAAAUUGCUUCUGCAAUCAUUGAUAUAUAUAAAGCAUGCUACUACUAAUCAAUUAGUUUUAUGUAUUAAGACCUAUCAGCAUGUCUUUUUUUUAAGUACCUGGUUGACUUGAUUUUAAACUAACAUGAUGUUCUCUGUACCAUUUAACAUUUUUAAGACAUUCUCCCCAAGCAAAUUCUGUUGGAACCAAGUGUUUCCAGUUCUAGAAGCCUACUUCUAGAGUCUUCAUAUGAAAUUUAUAGUGGGCUUUAAUGGGAUUUUAAUUUGCACUAAAUUUUCCUUUUCUGAAAGAUUAUGUUCAAAUUAUAAUGUAGUGCUUUUGUCUCACAAUUAAACUCUUACAGCACUCAUG